UACAUAAAGAAACAGGUUUCCGGUACAGACAAAUCUGUACGGGUCGGUACCGAUCAGCGCAGGUAUAAUAUUUCAAUAUAAUCCUAUUCACUCACUUAUAAAGAAACAGGUUGUAACUUGUCGGUGCCGACUACCUGGACCGUGCCAUACGGGUUUAAGCAUUUACUGGUGUAGGGUGUGUUUAAUAAUAUUAAAAAUGGAUUUGGAUAACGAAGUUUUGAUAGCCUUAGUGUUUGAUAAACAAUGUUUAUGGGACAAAACUCAUAAGUUCCACAGCAACAGAAAUUUCGAUGUCAAACUACUCUCAUUUAAGUAAUGUUUCCCGUAAUAGUACUCCAGAGACCUGCAACGAAAUAACUCUUCCACAAACUUCGAGUGACAAUAUUGCUGUUAUAAGCAACCAAUUAGCCACAGAAGAAUAUAUUUUUCAUUGUGAUUAAAACUACUUACAAAUAAAACAUACUAGCCUACUGAAUGAAUAAAGGUCAA
Molecule: long non-coding RNA, 489 nt
Organism: Pieris napi
Lineage: Eukaryota; Metazoa; Arthropoda; Insecta; Lepidoptera; Pieridae
Exons: 2
Source: RefSeq, a predicted model, not a curated record